Long non-coding RNA from Rosa chinensis, 907 nucleotides. RefSeq lists it as uncharacterized. NCBI's taxonomy places the organism in Eukaryota, Viridiplantae, Streptophyta, Magnoliopsida, Rosales, Rosaceae. The record is from RefSeq and is a predicted model, not a curated record. The transcript is spliced from 5 exons.
CGCCUAUCCAAUCGAUCCCAAAUUUUCUAUCGCUCUUCUUCUCUCCCCUUCUUCCACUCUUCUCAAUUCUCAUUUUCUUCAGGGUUUUCUUUGCAGAUAAAUUGCCGUGUUAGGUCAAUAAAUUCCAGAUUAUGAUGGGCUCACGUAACCUACCAUUCAAUGGGGAAGACAUAGAAUGGAGUUCAUUUAUGAAAGGUUAUCGCGGUGCGUGGUUCCGAUUGUGUAGGGAACAGGAAGAGCCAGUAGUAAGAGUUAACAAGUAUAGUAUUUGCAAAGCAAGUUUUGACAGUAUUCUUUUUCAUAAAAGUAUUGGGUUGGUCUAUUUCAAUUGAGGAUUUUCCGGAGUUCUCAUUAACAGAUUCUGAAACUGAAACUGGCGAAUCAAAGAUGAAUUAGUAUCAAGAUGCAAUCACUAAUUUGGCAUGAGGAUGUCAACAGCGUCUCGUGCUCCAGUGGUUGGGAGUAAGGCUUUCGUGUUAGAAUGAGGAUGAGAUUGAUGAUCCUAAGCUUAAGGAGUUUUUGCAGGUGAUCCAACCUAGGAUAGUAGAAAAGAGAGCAGAGGAAGAAGGGGAGUGAAGAAAGAGCAGAGCAGAAGGAUGAUUCGGUCCUUAUCAGUCUUUCGGUCCCAAAAAAAAUCAAGCCCGACACCGACCCGAUAAAUUGUAAUUCGGGUAGGGCUUUGCACCGAACCGGUAUUUUCCAAUACAAAACCGAACCAAAUCGGGCUUUUUUGAUCGGUUCGGGCAGGGUUCUUGGGUUCUUGGGUUCUCGGGUCCAGACCCCUAGCCCUACUUUAAAAUGCAGGCACCCAUGAUGUUUGAGGUAUGAGUAAUCGUCUACAUACUCUUUAAGAGCACCUGUAUUCUAUUUAAUUCAUACAUCAAGGAAUUACUUACCAUUUAGGUAA